AUUGAACGCUGGCGGCAGGCUUAAUACAUGCAAGUCGAGCGAGCGGCGGACGGGUGAGUAAUGUCUGGGAAACUGCCUGAUGGAGGGGGAUCCUUACUGGAAACGGUAGCUAAUACUGCAUACCAUCAGAUGUGCCCAGGUGGGAUUAGCUAGUAGGUGGGGUAAGGGCUCACCUAGGCGACGAUCCCUAGCUGGUCUGAGAGGCUGACCAGCCACACUGGAACUGAGACACGGUCCAGACUCCUACGGGAGGCAGCAGUAGGGAAUAGUGCACAAUGGGCGCAAGCCUGAUGCAGCAAUGCCGCGUGUGUGAAGAAGGCUUUCGGGUUGUAAAGCACUUUUAGCGAGGAGGCGUUACUCGCAGAGAAAGCACCGGCUAACUCCGUGCCAGCAGCCGCGGUAAUAC
This 406-nucleotide ribosomal RNA is filed under the name uncultured bacterium. Its description in RNAcentral is "partial 16S ribosomal RNA". It matches the Rfam family "Bacterial small subunit ribosomal RNA", at positions 30 to 526 of the family's 1533-position model. The record is from RNAcentral.